CUUGAUUCCUCUGGCACUCCGCUUCUCUGGCAUUUUGGCCUCUUUCCCACGAGCUGGUCCCUGCCAUUGAACUACGCCCUCCCAGGCGACCAAACGACACAAAAACAAGGAAAAAGACUCGAUCUAGACUUAAAACACACACAAAAAUAGAGCACAAACCUGGGCUCAUCACACGCACACACUUUAAACACGAUUGUCCUCAAGCGUGCAUGCAUGAUUUUGCCCAAGAACAGACACGGACGAAAAAAAAACACACAAAACAUAAAAAAAAAUGAAAACACACAGCAUGCUAUACUCUCUCAGUCCAACAGUAAAAUGAAGAUUAAAAGAAACAAAAAGUAGCAUGAUCAAACAAUCAAAAAUGCCAUCAGUUGAGUCAAGAUCGGGUUCUGGGCAUAAGGAUGUUCCUCCCCUUUCACUCUUUCUCUCAAGUGUUUAGGCUCGUGUUUACACUCCGGACAUCUUGAUUGGGUUCUGAACAUAAGCUUGCCUAUCUUCUAAUGUCUUCCCCUUUAGUCAAAGUCCUAGGCGCAUCUCAUUAGGUCUUUCAUGGGUUGUAAUGUGGCUCAAGGCAUAAGGUGAGAAUUUUUGGUACGAGGCUAAGGUCAUUCUGAACUUCAUUCUGGGCAACUGACUUCCCAGAUUCUUUUGAUCCUUGCCUAUUCUUGCGGGCUUAAGCACAUUUUUCCCUUUAUUCUUCCUCUCUUUUUUUUUCUUUUUCUCCUUCUUUUUUUUAUUUCUUUUUACUUUUCUGGACUUUGUCUGUUUUGGGAUUUAGAUGUCCCAUUUUGCAAUUUCUUUGCACUAGUCCUGCCCAUCGGAUCCACUACACUAUCUCCCUUUCUUUUGCCCUUAAGUUCAGUUUUGACCGGGAUGGCUCAAAUCUAGGCAAAUUUAUAAGUGAAUUCAAAAGAAUUAUUAAGCUCAAAAGGGGUUGCAAGUGAUAGAUGUAGGGUUGGUCAGUUUGGCUCAGUGGGCUGAAGAAAGAAUUUGCCUAAAUCAUUCAACACACCUAGACUAUGUACACAGGGU
Molecule: long non-coding RNA, 1032 nt
Filed under: Salvia miltiorrhiza (redroot sage)
Lineage: Eukaryota; Viridiplantae; Streptophyta; Magnoliopsida; Lamiales; Lamiaceae
Description: long non-coding RNA (SMIL_LNC011296)
Source: RNAcentral